RNAcentral lists this ribosomal RNA (497 nucleotides) under uncultured bacterium. RNAcentral describes it as "partial 16S ribosomal RNA". It matches the Rfam family "Bacterial small subunit ribosomal RNA", at positions 28 to 507 of the family's 1533-position model. The record is from RNAcentral.
GAUGAACGCUGGCGGCGUGCCUAAUACAUGCAAGUCGAGCGAACAGACGAGGAGCUUGCUCCUCUGACGUUAGCGGCGGACGGGUGAGUAACACGUGGAUAACCUACCUAUAAGACUGGGAUAACUUCGGGAAACCGGAGCUAAUACCGGAUAAUAUAUUGAACCGCAUGGUUCAAUAGUGAAAGACGGUUUUGCUGUCACUUCUAGAUGGAUCCGCGCCGCAUUAGCUAGUUGGUAAGGUAACGGCUUACCAAGGCAACGAUGCGUAGCCGACCUGAGAGGGUGAUCGGCCACACGGGAACUGAGACACGGUCCAGACGCCUACGGGAGGCAGCAGUAGGGAAUCUUCCGCAAUGGGCGAAAGCCUGACGGAGCAACGCCGCGUGAGUGAUGAAGGUCUUCGGAUCGUAAAACUCUGUUAUUAGGGAAGAACAAAUGUGUAAGUAACUAUGCACGUCUUGACGGUACCUAAUCAGAAAGCCACGGCUAACUACGUG